This 337-nucleotide ribosomal RNA is filed under the name uncultured bacterium. Its description in RNAcentral is "bacterial SSU rRNA". It matches the Rfam family "Bacterial small subunit ribosomal RNA", at positions 461 to 793 of the family's 1533-position model. The record is from RNAcentral.
UGCAUUAUUUGACGUUACCUACAGAAGAAGCACCGGCUAACUCCGUGCCAGCAGCCGCGGUAAUACGGAGGGUGCGAGCGUUAAUCGGAAUUACUGGGCGUAAAAGCGCAUGCAGGCGGCCUGUUAAGUCAGAUGUGAAAAGCCCGGGCUUAAACCUCGGAAAUUGCAUUUGAAAACUGGCAGGCUAGAGUCUUGUAGAGGGGGUAGAAUUUCAGGUGUAGCGGUGAAAAUGCGUAGAGAUCUGAAGGAAUACCAGUGGCGAAGGCGGCCCCCUGGACAAAGACUGACGCUCAGAUGCGAAAGCGUGGGGAGCAAACAGGAUUAGAUACCCUGGUAG